RNAcentral lists this ribosomal RNA (250 nucleotides) under uncultured bacterium. RNAcentral describes it as "partial 16S ribosomal RNA". It matches the Rfam family "Bacterial small subunit ribosomal RNA", at positions 524 to 773 of the family's 1533-position model. The record is from RNAcentral.
GACAGAGGUGGCAAGCGUUGUUCGGAUUUACUGGGCGUAAAGCGCACGUAGGCGGCCAGGCAAGUCGGGUGUGAAAUCCCUCUGCUUAACGGAGGAACUGCGCUCGAAACUGCCCGGCUCGAGGGUAGGAGAGGAGAGUGGAAUUCCCGGUGUAGCAGUGAAAUGCGUAGAGAUCGGGAGGAACACCAGUGGCGAAGGCGGCUCUCUGGCCUAUUCCUGACGCUGAAGAGCGAAAGCGUGGGGAGCAAAC